This is a non-coding RNA of Arachis ipaensis, 499 nucleotides long. The record is from RefSeq and is a predicted model, not a curated record. NCBI's taxonomy places the organism in Eukaryota, Viridiplantae, Streptophyta, Magnoliopsida, Fabales, Fabaceae.
AUAAGGAUAAGAGGAUUUGAUUUAGUUCAACUUUUUUGGUGGUGUUUUCUCUCUGGAUGAGGUAUUGGAAUUGAAUCAUGAACAUGCUUUUGUGCAGUUAAACCACCGAGUGUAUUGGAGAUUAACUUCGGGGAUUCAGGCGCAAGAUUUUGUCUGCACAAUUUUCCCAACUUAACUUUGCCAUUUGUUCUCGCCUUAUGUUUUGGUUUGAUCUGGUCUUCCGUCAGUUUGACAAGUAGUUUCUUUUGUUUAUUUUCAGCUUUCUGCAUACGUGUUUGCCAUAAUUUGGCACAUUACCCUAAUUGGAGAAUAUUGCUUGAACGCUGUGAGGUGUCUGAAUUAUGUUAAAACUUUUGGAUUGUUGUGCUGGCCUUAAAACUGUUCUUGCAUGGAAAUUGCAACUAUGAUUUUGUUUUGUGCGCGCAUAACUAGAAACUUCUUUUCGGUUCAUCUCUGUCACUCUUCAUGUUGAGUAGUGUUUGGCAGCAUCUGGACUUUG